RNAcentral lists this ribosomal RNA (412 nucleotides) under Klebsiella pneumoniae. RNAcentral's name for it is "partial 23S ribosomal RNA". It matches the Rfam family "Bacterial large subunit ribosomal RNA", at positions 1975 to 2388 of the family's 2925-position model. Lineage: Bacteria; Pseudomonadati; Pseudomonadota; Gammaproteobacteria; Enterobacterales; Enterobacteriaceae. The record is from RNAcentral.
GGUAAGUUCCGACCCGCACGAAAGGUGUAACGACUUGGGCACUGUCUCAACGAGGGACCCGGUGAAAUUGAAGUACCUGUGAAGAUGCAGGUUACCCGCGACUGGACAGAAAGACCCCAUGGAGCUUUACUGCAACCUGACAUUGAUGUUCGGUAAAUAACGUACAGGAUAGGUGGGAGACGGAGAAGUAUUGGCGUUAGCUGAUAUGGAGUCAACCUUGGGAUACCACCCUUUAUUUAUUGGACCUCUAACUGAAGAAGUAACGACUCUCAGGACAGUAUCAGGCGGGCAGUUUGACUGGGGCGGUCGCCUCCCAAAAUGUAACGGAGGCGCCCAAAGGUUCCCUCAGCGCGAACGGAAACCGCGCAAAGAGUGUAAAGGCAGAAGGGAGCUUGACUGCGAGUCAGACACG